RNAcentral lists this ribosomal RNA (481 nucleotides) under uncultured bacterium. Its description in RNAcentral is "bacterial SSU rRNA". It matches the Rfam family "Bacterial small subunit ribosomal RNA", at positions 28 to 507 of the family's 1533-position model. The record is from RNAcentral.
GAUGAACGCUGGCGGCGUGCCUAAUACAUGCAAGUCGAUCGAAUGUAGCAAUACAUUAGAGGCGAACGGGUGAGUAUCGCGUUGGUAAUCUACCUUUCAGUUGGGGAUACCCAGAGGAAACUUUGGCUAAUACCGUAAUACGUAAUAUGGUGAAAUUCCAUAUUAUGAAAGGAGCUUCGGCUCCGCUGAUUGAUGAGCCUGCGUCUGAUUAGCUAGUUGGUGAGAUAAAAGCCCACCAAGGCGAGGAUCAGUAGCCGACCUGAGAGGGUGAACGGCCACAAUGGAACUGAGAACGGUCCAUACUCCUACGGGAGGCAGCAGUAGGGAGUUUUCGACAAUGGGGGAAACCCUGAUCGAGCAACGCCGCGUGAAUGAUGAAGGUCUUCGGAUUGUAAAAUUCUGUUACAGGGGAUAAACGAUAGGUGUAGGUAAUGACACUUAUUUGAUAGUACCUUGCCAGAAAGCAACGACUAACUACGUG